This 200-nucleotide unclassified non-coding RNA is filed under the name Helotiales sp. RNAcentral's name for it is "partial internal transcribed spacer 2". Lineage: Eukaryota; Fungi; Ascomycota; Leotiomycetes; Helotiales. The record is from RNAcentral.
UUAAGUUCAGCGGGUAUCCCUACCUGAUCCGAGGUCAACCAUAGAAAAUAUAGGUUAUGGCAAGCGCUCACCAGGACACUGUAGCGAGAAGAGUUACUACGCUUAGAGCCAGGUGGCACCGCCACUGAUUAUGAGCUGCCAGCGCGGCAGGCCCCAACACCAAGCUGAGCUUGAGGGGUUGUAAUGACGCUCGAACAGGC